This 496-nucleotide ribosomal RNA is filed under the name uncultured bacterium. RNAcentral describes it as "partial 16S ribosomal RNA". It matches the Rfam family "Bacterial small subunit ribosomal RNA", at positions 28 to 506 of the family's 1533-position model. The record is from RNAcentral.
GAUGAACGCUGGCGGCGUGCCUAAUACAUGCAAGUCGAGCGAACGGACGAGAAGCUUGCUUCUCUGAUGUUAGCGGCGGACGGGUGAGUAACACGUGGAUAACCUACCUAUAAGACUGGGAUAAAUUCGGGAAACCGGAGCUAAUACCGGAUAAUAUUUUGAACCGCAUGGUUCAAAAGUUAAAGACGGUCUUGCUGUCACUUAUAGAUGGAUCCGCGCUGCAUUAGCUAGUUGGUAAGGUAACGGCUUACCAAGGCAACGAUGCAUAGCCGACCUGAGAGGGUGAUCGGCCACACUGGAACUGAGACACGGUCCAGACUCCUACGGGAGGCAGCAGUAGGGAAUCUUCCGAAAUGGGCGAAAGCCUGACGGAGCAACGCCGCGUGAGUGAUGAAGGUCUUCGGAUCGUAAAACUCUGUUAUUAGGGAAGAACAUAUGUGUAAGUAACUGUGCACAUCUUGACGGUACCUAAACAGAAAGCCACGGCUAACUACGU